RNAcentral lists this ribosomal RNA (254 nucleotides) under uncultured bacterium. Its description in RNAcentral is "partial 16S ribosomal RNA". It matches the Rfam family "Bacterial small subunit ribosomal RNA", at positions 524 to 776 of the family's 1533-position model. The record is from RNAcentral.
UACGUAGGACCCAAGCGUUAUCCGGAGUGACUGGGCGUAAAGAGUUGCGUAGGCGGUUAGUAAAGCGAAUAGUUAAAGAUGAUGGCUCAACCAUCAGAACAUUAUUCGAACUCACUAACUCGAGAAUGGUAGAGGUGGCUGGAAUUUCCUGUGUAGGAGUGAAAUCCGUAGAUAUAGGAAGGAACACCAAUGGCGUAGGCAGGCCACUGGACCAUUUCUGACGCUGAGGCACGAAAGCGUGGGGAGCGAACCGG